GUGCUUUAGCAGCACAUAUACUAAAAUGGGAAUGAUACAGAGAUGAUUGCACAAAGAUGACAUGCAGUAGUUGUUUACUGUUCUCUU
This 87-nucleotide small nuclear RNA is filed under the name Ailuropoda melanoleuca (giant panda). The record is from RNAcentral. Lineage: Eukaryota; Metazoa; Chordata; Mammalia; Carnivora; Ursidae.